RNAcentral lists this ribosomal RNA (453 nucleotides) under uncultured bacterium. RNAcentral's name for it is "partial 16S ribosomal RNA". It matches the Rfam family "Bacterial small subunit ribosomal RNA", at positions 29 to 523 of the family's 1533-position model. The record is from RNAcentral.
AACGAACGCUGGCGGCAUGCCUAACACAUGCAAGUCGAACGGAUGCAGCAAUGCAUCAGUGGCAGAUGGGUGAGUAACACGUGGGAAUCUACCCAGUAGCCUGGAAUAACCGCGGGGAACUGCGGCUAAUACCGGAUACGCCCCUCGGGGGAAAGGAGCAAUCCACUAUUGGAGGAGCCCGCGUCCGAUUAGCUAGUUGGUGAGGUAACGGCUCACCAAGGCGAUGAUCGGUAGCUGGUUUGAGAGAACGACCAGCCACACGGGGACUGAGACACGGCCCAGCCUCCUACGGGAGGCAGCGGUGGGGAAUAUUGGACAAUGGGGGAAACCCUGAUCCAGCGAUGCCGCGUGGGUGAUGAAGGCCUUCGGGUUGUAAAGCCCUUUUGGCGGGGACGAUGAUGACGGUACCCGCAGAAGAAGCCCCGGCUAACUUCGUGCCAGCCGCCGCGGUAA